GACAGAGGGUGCAAACGUUGCUCGGAAUUACUGGGCGUAAAGCGCGUGUAGGCGGAUAGGUAAGUCAGGUGUGAAAUCCCCGGGCUCAACCCGGGAACUGCACUUGAAACUACCUGUCUUGAGUGGUGGAGAGGAGAGCGGAAUUCCUGGUGUAGAGGUGAAAUUCGUAGAUAUCAGGAGGAACACCGGUGGCGAAGGCGGCUCUCUGGACAUCGACUGACGCUGAGACGCGAAAGCGUGGGGAGCAAACAGG
This 253-nucleotide ribosomal RNA is filed under the name uncultured bacterium. RNAcentral's name for it is "partial 16S ribosomal RNA". It matches the Rfam family "Bacterial small subunit ribosomal RNA", at positions 524 to 776 of the family's 1533-position model. The record is from RNAcentral.